GCAAGGGCGUCUGGGGGAUGCCUUGGCGCACACAGGCGAUGAAGGACGUAGCACGCUGCGAUAAGCUGCGGGGAGGGGCGAGCACCCUCUGAUCCGCAGAUUUCCGAAUGGGGAAACCCAAUCCGCAAGGAUUAUCCAUUCCUGAAUCCAUAGGGAAUGGAGGCGAACCCGGGGAACUGAAACAUCUCAGUACCCGGAGGAAAGGACAUCAAUUGAGACUCCGCUAGUAGUGGCGAGCGAACGCGGACCAGGCCAGUGACGCAUCCGUCAGAACCGGAACCGUCUGGAAAGGCGGGCCAGAGAGGGUGAUGGCCCCGUACGGGUAGAAAGCGGAUGCGUCCUCGAGUAGGGCGGGACACGAGGAAUCCUGUCUGAAGAUGGGGGGACCACCCUCCAAGCCUAAGUACUCCUCGGUGACCGAUAGUGCACGAGUACCGUGAGGGAAAGGUGAAAAGCACCCCGAUGAGGGGAGUGAAAGAGAACCUGAAACCGAAUGCCUACAAGCAGUGGGAGCCUCCAGACUCUUCGGAGUCUGCGGGGUGACCGCGUACCUUUUGUAUAAUGGGUCAGCGAGUUCGUCUGUGUAGCGAGCUUAAGCCGGAAGGCGGAGGCGCAGCGAAAGCGAGUCUGAAGAGGGCGACUGAGUUACACGGAUGAGACCCGAAACCGAGUGAUCUAGCCAUGGCCAGGCUGAAGGUGGGGUAACACCCACUGGAGGGCCGAACCGGUGACUGUUGAAAAAGUGUCGGAUGAGCUGUGGCUAGGGGUGAAAGGCCAAUCAAACUCGGAAAUAGCUGGUUCUCCGCGAAAACUAUUUAGGUAGUACGUCGCGUGAACGCCGCCGGGGGUAGAGCACUGGAUGGGCUAGGGGGGCGCGAGCCUUACCAAACCUAACCAAACUCCGAAUACCGGCGAGCGCUGCGCGGCAGACAGACCAUGGGUGCUAAGGUCCGUGGUCGAGAGGGAAACAGCCCAGACCGCCAGCUAAGGUCCCCAAGUCGUGGCUAAGUGGGAAAGGAUGUGGGAAGGCCAAGACAACCAGGAGGUUGGCUUAGAAGCAGCCAUCCUUUAAAGAAAGCGUAACAGCUCACUGGUCUAGAUACUAAGCCGUCCUGCGCCGAAAAUGUAACGGGGCUCAAGCCAUGCACCGAAGCUGCGGGUUCGUCUUCGGACGAGCGGUAGCGGAGCGUUCCGUACGCCUGCGAAGGGAGUCCGAGAGGUCUCCUGGAGGCAUCGGAAGCGAGAAUGCUGACACGAGUAGCGACAAAGAGUGUGAGAAACACUCUCGCCGAAAGUCCAAGGGUUCCUGCGCAAGGUUAAUCCGCGCAGGGUGAGCCGGCCCCUAAGGCGAGGGCGAAAGCCGUAGCCGAUGGGAACCAGGUUAAUAGUCCUGGGCCUGCCGGGAGUGACGGAUGCCGUAAGUCGUGACCGCUGAUUGGAUUGCGGUUGCGGCGAAGGCGUUCCAGGAAACAACCCCGGCGUAUAGACCGUACCCCAAACCGACACAGGUGGACUGGUAGAGCAUACCUAGGCGCUUGAGAGAACGAUGUUGAAGGAACUAGGCAAAAUGCCCUCGUAACUUCGGGAGAAGAGGGCCCUUUGCCCGGGCAACCGGGCCGAGGGGGCACAGAGCAGGGGGUAGCGACUGUUUAUUAAAAACACAGGGCUCUGCGAAGUGGAAACACGACGUAUAGGGUCUGACGCCUGCCCGGUGCCGGAAGGUUAAGAGGAGGGGUGCAAGCCCUGAAUCGAAGCCCCGGUAAACGGCGGCCGUAACUAUAACGGUCCUAAGGUAGCGAAAUUCCUUGUCGGGUAAGUUCCGACCUGCACGAAUGGCGUAACGACUUCCCCGCUGUCUCCAACAUCGACUCAGCGAAACUGAAUUCUCCGUGAAGAUGCGGAGUACCCGCGGUUAGACGGAAAGACCCCGUGCACCUUUACUACAGCUUUGCAGUGGUAUUAGGGUCGGCAUGUGUAGGAUAGGCGGGAGCCUAUGAAGCGGUGGCGCCAGCCAUCGCGGAGGCAGCCUUGAAAUACCGCCCUUGUCGGCUCUGAUAUCUAACCGAGGCCCUUAAGCAGGGUCCGGGACCCUGCAUGGCGGGUAGUUUGACUGGGGCGGUCGCCUCCCAAAGAGUAACGGAGGCGCGCGAUGGUGGGCUCAAGCUGGUCGGAAAUCAGCUGUUGAGUGCAAUGGCACAAGCCCGCCUGACUGCGAGAGCGACGGCUCGAGCAGAGACGAAAGUCGGUCAUAGUGAUCCGGUGGUUCUGCAUGGAAGGGCCAUCGCUCAACGGAUAAAAGGUACGCCGGGGAUAACAGGCUGAUCUCCCCCAAGAGUCCACAUCGACGGGGAGGUUUGGCACCUCGAUGUCGGCUCAUCACAUCCUGGGGCUGGAGCAGGUCCCAAGGGUUCGGCUGUUCGCCGAUUAAAGUGGUACGUGAGCUGGGUUUAGAACGUCGUGAGACAGUUCGGUCCCUAUCUGCCGUGGGUGUUGGAGAAUUGAGAGGAGCUGCCCCUAGUACGAGAGGACCGGGGUGGACGUACCUCUGGUGUACCGGUUGUGGCGCCAGCCGCAGCGCCGGGUAGCUAAGUACGGACGGGAUAACCGCUGAAGGCAUCUAAGCGGGAAGCCCCCCUCGAAACCAGUUCUCCCUCGAGAGCCGUGGAAGACCACCACGUUGAUAGGCCGGGUGUGGAAGUGCGGCAACGCAUGCAGCUAACCGGUCCUAAUCGCUCGAUCGGCUUGAGC
Molecule: ribosomal RNA, 2748 nt
Filed under: soil metagenome
Description: bacterial LSU rRNA
Rfam family: Bacterial large subunit ribosomal RNA
Source: RNAcentral